This 241-nucleotide long non-coding RNA is filed under the name Gossypium barbadense (sea-island cotton). Its description in RNAcentral is "long non-coding RNA (GBAR_LNC018538)". The record is from RNAcentral. Lineage: Eukaryota; Viridiplantae; Streptophyta; Magnoliopsida; Malvales; Malvaceae.
UGAGAUCUUGAUUUUCUUAAUUCUUGAAAUCGCUCAAAAUAGCAAAAUUAGACCAAGAUUCAGUUUCUUGAUUUUCUUGAAAACAAGAAAGUGAAUAUUGGUUUUCUUUUUCCUUUGUAUACGCUUCUAAGGCCUUGCUAAUGAAGUCUUGAAUGAUUCCAUUUAGUUUCAUACGCAUUUUCCUGGCCUUUGACCUUGUUAUUGGGCCUUGUGGUAAAUUGAACCCAUCACGUCCUUGAGC